AUGGCAUGGGUGGUUCAGUGGUAG
This 24-nucleotide non-coding RNA is filed under the name Cricetulus griseus (Chinese hamster). The record is from RNAcentral. Lineage: Eukaryota; Metazoa; Chordata; Mammalia; Rodentia; Cricetidae.